GAGUGAAGCGGCAACAGCUCAAAUUUGAAAUCUGGCCCUCUUUGGGGGUCCGAGUUGUAAUUUGUAGAGGAUGCUUUGGCAUUGGCGGCGGUCUAAGUUCCUUGGAACAGGACAUCACAGAGGGUGAGAAUCCCGUACGUGGUCGCCUGCCUUUGCCGUGUAAAGCUCCUUCGACGAGUCGAGUUGUUUGGGAAUGCAGCUCUAAAUGGGAGGUAAAUUUCUUCUAAAGCUAAAUACCGGCCAGAGACCGAUAGCGCACAAGUAGAGUGAUCGAAAGAUGAAAAGUACUUUGGAAAGAGAGUCAAAAAGCACGUGAAAUUGUUGAAAGGGAAGCGCUUGCAGCCAGACUUGCCCGCAGUUGCUCACCUAGGCUUUGGCCUGGGGCACUCUUCUGUGGGCAGGCCAGCAUCAGUUUGGGCGGUUGGAUAAAGGCCUCUGUCACGUAUCUCCCUUCGGGGUGACCUUAUAGGGGAGGCGCAAUGCAACCAGCCCGGACUGAGGUCCGCGCAUCUGCUAGGAUGCUGGCGUAAUGGCUGUAAGCGGCCCGUCUUGAAACACGGACCAAGGAGUCUAACAUCUAUGCGAGUGUUUGGGUGUCAAGCCCGGGCGCGCAAUGAAAGUGAACGGAGGUGGGAACCCUUUGGGUGCACCAUCGACCGAUCCUGAUGUCUUCGGAUGGAUUUGAGUAAGAGCAUAGCUGUUGGGACCCGAAAGAUGGUGAACUAUGCUUGAAUAGGGUGAAGCCAGAGGAAACUCUGGUGGAGGCUCGCAGCGGUUCUGACGUGCAAAUCGAUCGUCAAAUUUGGGCAUAGGGGCG
This 817-nucleotide ribosomal RNA is filed under the name Curreya sp. 797_2_CP01. RNAcentral describes it as "eukaryotic LSU rRNA". It matches the Rfam family "Eukaryotic large subunit ribosomal RNA", at positions 91 to 925 of the family's 3401-position model. The record is from RNAcentral. Lineage: Eukaryota; Fungi; Ascomycota; Dothideomycetes; Pleosporales; Cucurbitariaceae.